GUGCCUUUAGUAUAAAGAGUUAUGUUUCGCUUAGGACGGAAAGGUCCCUGUGGGGAAGGCUUG
RNAcentral lists this transfer RNA (63 nucleotides) under Pinctada maxima (silver-lipped pearl oyster). RNAcentral's name for it is "tRNA-Leu". The record is from RNAcentral. Lineage: Eukaryota; Metazoa; Mollusca; Bivalvia; Pterioida; Pteriidae.